This is a non-coding RNA of Salmo salar (Atlantic salmon), 580 nucleotides long. The record is from RefSeq and is a predicted model, not a curated record. Lineage: Eukaryota; Metazoa; Chordata; Actinopteri; Salmoniformes; Salmonidae.
AGAGAUGAGAGGAAGGAAAGGAGAUAAGGAGAGGAGAUGAGGAGAUGAAACAAGAAGAGGAAAGAGAGGAGGAAAUUAGGAAGCUACUGUAGAAUGUUGAGAUGAUAGAGAGGAGGGGAAGCUAUUGUACUGUUAACAUGAUGGAGAGGAGGAGAUGAAGGAGAAGAGGGUGGAAGAAAAGAUGAGGAUAGGGGCGAUGAAAGAGAGGAAGGGUGGAGAGGAGGAAGGCUUUGUAGUUGAUUGAAAUGUGGAGAGGAGAUAAAGCCACUCUAGACUAUGGAGAUCGUAGACAGGAAGCCACUGUAGGCUAUGGAGAUCGUAGACAGGAAGCCACUGUAGACUAUGGAGAUAGUAGACAGGAAGCCACUCUAGACUAUGGAGACACACCCUCUGACUGUAACCUACCUUAGCCCUUACAGGGUAAUGAUGGCCUGGCUCGGCUGCUGCCACUUCCUGUCCGCCUCCAUCGAAGAACUCCGACUGGAUGCCCUUAUUACUCUGGAUUUACUCCGUAAUCAAACACGAUGAAUAACUGAUAAAUGAAUUAAGCAACCAAUCAAUAAAUCAACGUGCAAACUAG